RNAcentral lists this non-coding RNA (781 nucleotides) under Sclerophasma paresisense. The record is from RNAcentral. Lineage: Eukaryota; Metazoa; Arthropoda; Insecta; Mantophasmatodea; Mantophasmatidae.
UUAUUUUUUUAUUUUGCUGAUAAUUGAUUUUAUCAUGGUUAAUAUCUUCAUUUUUAUUUUAUUAUAUAUGCUAAUUUUGAUUUAAAAAUUUAUUAUUGCAGUAUUUUUUAUUGGUUAUUAAGUUAUUUUAGAUCCAGUAAUUGUAAUUAGGAUUGGUUAAAUUUGUGCCAGCAACUGCGGUUAUACAAAUGAUCCAAUUGAAGAUUUUUGAUUUAAAUUAAAUUUUGGUUAAAAUUUACAUAGUUCUUCAUUGAGUGAAAUCUUGAAUUAUUUUAAGUUUAUUUUUUAAAUUGAUAUUUAGAAAUUGAUUUAUUAAACUAGGAUUAGAUACCCUAUUAUUUUUAAUGUAUAUUAAUUGAUUUAGGUAGUAAUAGUUAUGUUCUUUAAACUUAAAGGAUUUGGCGGUGUUUUAGUCUAUUCAGAGGAACCUGUUCUAUAAUCGAUAUUCCACGUUUUAUCUUUCUUCUUGUUGUUAUCAGUUUGUAUAUCUCCGUUAUCAGAUUAUCUUUUUAGAGUUAAAAAUUUUCUUUUUCUUUAUUAAAGGUUAUUUCAGGUCAAGGUGCAGCUUAUCAAGAAGUGUGAAAUGGGUUACAAUAAAUUUAUUUAUAGCGGAUUUUAUUUGUAAUAAAAUGUUGAAGAUGGAUUUGAGAGUAAAAUUUUUUUAUUAAAAAUAUUUGAUUUUAGCUCUAAAACAUGUACACAUCGCCCGUCGCUCUCGUUAAUAAAAUGAGAUAAGUCGUAACAAAGUAGGUGUACCUGAAGGUGUGCCUAGAAUAUUAAU